AUUGAACGCUGGCGGCAUGCUUUACACAUGCAAGUCGAACGGUAACAGGGUGCUUGCACCGCUGACGAGUGGCGAACGGGUGAGUAAUGCGUCGGAACGUGCCGAGUAGUGGGGGAUAACGCAUCGAAAGGUGUGCUAAUACCGCAUACGUACUGAGGUAGAAAGUGGGGGACCUUCGGGCCUCACGCUAUUCGAGCGGCCGGCGUCUGAUUAGCUAGUUGGUGAGGUAAAGGCUCACCAAGGCGACGAUCAGUAGCGGGUCUGAGAGGAUGAUCCGCCACACUGGGACUGAGACACGGCCCAGACUCCGUCUGGAGGCAGCAGUGGGGAAUUUUGGACAAUGGGCGCAAGCCUGAUCCAGCCAUGCCGCGUGUCUGAAGAAGGCCUUCGGGUUGUAAAGGACUUUUGUCCGGGAGCAAAUACCCAGUGCUAAUAACGCUGGGGGCUGAGAGUACCGGAAGAAUAAGCACCGGCUAACUACGUGCCAGCCGCCGCGGUAA
Molecule: ribosomal RNA, 500 nt
Filed under: uncultured bacterium
Lineage: Bacteria
Description: partial 16S ribosomal RNA
Rfam family: Bacterial small subunit ribosomal RNA
Source: RNAcentral